AUGAAGGUCGCUUCCUUCCCAACUAAGUACUUGGGCCUUCCCCUGCAUACCUCAAGGCUCAAGCGGGUUCAUCUGCAACCUCUCAUAGACAAAGCAAUGGGCAAGCUUCCGGGGUGGAAGGGAAAGAACCUUGCGAGGCCGGGAAGAGUCUCCUUGGCAAAGUCAGUCCUAUGCGCCAUGGCCACACAUCAUCUCACUGCGCUCCCUCUUCCGGCGUGGGCCAACCAUAAGCUUAGCAAGAUCUCUCGCAACUUCAUAUGGCUAGGCAACAAUUCCGAGAAUGCGACUGGAGGGCACUCCCUGGUAAACUGGAAGACGAUGUGCAGGCCGAAGGCCCUAGGUGGGCUGGGAAUCACAGACCUAGAGAGGUUUGGUCGGGCUCUCCGCUUGCGCUGGCCAUGGCUAAUGUGGAUCGACCCUGACUGUCAGUGGGUGGGCUCUGCCCUACCCUGCGACGACUCAGAUAUGGCGCUAUUCAGAGCUUCCACCUCCAUCGUGUUGGGUAACGACCACAAAGCUUUGUUCUGGCAUGAUGACUGGACCGGAAAGGGUCCCCUUAGUAUGCUGGCUCCCGGAUUAUACAAAAUCACCACAAGAAAGCAGAGAACAAUGUCCAAGGAGUUGCACGAUGAUAACUGGAUCAGAUCGGUCGCCCGCCUUCAGCCCCCCAUACACCUGUAG
Molecule: ribosomal RNA, 681 nt
Filed under: Triticum aestivum (bread wheat)
Lineage: Eukaryota; Viridiplantae; Streptophyta; Magnoliopsida; Poales; Poaceae
Description: partial small subunit ribosomal RNA
Source: RNAcentral